RNAcentral lists this ribosomal RNA (509 nucleotides) under uncultured bacterium. RNAcentral's name for it is "partial 16S ribosomal RNA". The stretch from base 20 to 332 matches the Rfam family "Bacterial small subunit ribosomal RNA", at positions 47 to 358 of the family's 1533-position model. The record is from RNAcentral.
GACGAACGCUGGCGGCGUGCUUAACACUUGCAAGUCGAACGGAAAGGCCCUGCUUUUGUGGGGUGCUCGAGUGGCGAACGGGUGAGUAACACGUGAGUAACCUGCCCUUGACUUUGGGAUAACUUCAGGAAACUGGGGCUAAUACCGGAUAGGAGCUCCUGCUGCAUGGUGGGGGUUGGAAAGUUUCGGCGGUUGGGGAUGGACUCGCGGCUUAUCAGCUUGUUGGUGGGGUAGUGGCUUACCAAGGCUUUGACGGGUAGCCGGCCUGAGAGGGUGACCGGCGCCGGGGGGACGGCCGGCCGGCCGCGGCUACGGGGGGGGGGAGCGGUGGGGGAUGUGGGAGGGCGGGAGGGAGGCAGGGGCCGAAACGCUGGGGGGGGGGCGGCGGCGUUGGGGUGGUCAACUGUUUGCGCGUGGGACGAAGGGGGAGUGACGGUGAUGGGUAAAGCAGCACCGGCUACCUACGUGCCAGCGGCCGCGGAAAUAAGCGAAAGCGCACACGUCUGAAC